Panicum virgatum (switchgrass) is the source of this 1991-nucleotide long non-coding RNA. RefSeq lists it as uncharacterized. NCBI's taxonomy places the organism in Eukaryota, Viridiplantae, Streptophyta, Magnoliopsida, Poales, Poaceae. The record is from RefSeq and is a predicted model, not a curated record. The transcript is spliced from 4 exons.
UCCACUCCACUCGAAUCAAACCCCACACGGAAACUCCGCUCCCAUUUGAAAUCCUCCAACCCGCGGGACUCGCCGCCGUCGCGGCCGGCCGGCCCGCCGUGGAGAGGCCCGAUCGCCGGCUCGACGCGGGCGGGCCAGCGGCGCGGAGCCGCCGCCCGACGCCACCGGCGCCUCUGACGCAUCAACUGGCCCGACAUCAGCAAAGCUCAAGAUUGGAUCAGUCAGUGUAACGUUGCAGCUACAAACCAGAAAUGUAUUGUAACAGGCUAAAAGCAUAUGUGGGCAACCACUGGUAGACAAUUGAGUAUCGGAGAGGAGAAAGCAUCUGCAUAACCUAAGAAUAGUUAAUAAGGCACUUUUGGUUCAGGUGGCCCAGCCGCCCGAGUGAUGCAAUGGCAAAGAUCCAUAGAAGCUUCCGAUGCAUUGAGCCUACCAUACCUUCAUGCCUUUAUGAACUGGAGCAGCCUGUGGUGGGUGCGCUGGAGGUUAUAGUAUCUUUUUACUCACUUCUCUUGUUAGGUGCCGGUUCUGAUGCACUGACAAAGAUUUGAAGUAUUUUUGCACCUGACCUACCUCAUUCUAGAAGGGGUUAUUGCACUCUUCAUCAUUGACGUUAUAGAUAAAUCACUUACAGCAUCUUUCAGUUGCUCAAACGGUGGUGUUAGGUAAAGCUAUACAGGCUUUGCAUCAUAUCCGCAUGCAUCCACAAUAUCCCACCCACUAUAUUUUUCUUUUCUCCUUUCUUUUCCCUUUUGGUUUCCUCGAGUCCUACUCAGUCACAGGUAGAACCUUCACUAGACCUAACUCAUCCUAUGUAGUAUGAAUGUCAAAACACCUUUACAUCUUUUCUUCUCUUUUGCUUUGGAAAGUAGAUUUAUCCAAAAGCUUAUGUGCCUUUCAUCUGGAAAAGGCAUUUGUGCACUUAUCUGCUCCACUCAUGUCAUGUGUGCUGCAUGUCGGAAAAGAUUGAGAGCAAUUUGGCAUGCAGUCAAACCAGCUGGGUGUUUCACCUUGCUGAUGGGAGAGAAUCUCACCAAUGGACAAUGGUUGUAGUGCUCCAUAAUGGAGUGCCUAUGCAUCUUUAGAGCACAAUGAAUGAAUAAAGUAGCAUUUUGACUUUAGAAUAAAACCAUUUGCGGCACAUAUGCACAAUAUACUGCCUUGUUCUUUACAUAUUCUGCCAAUUUAAUGGCUGCAUGAGUUCUUUUGAACCUGCCUUUGUUUCGAGACAAUUGGUUUGAGAGUUUCAGGUAAAGGUCACCCCUAGUCUGUUUUGGGAUUGUAUUUGGUAACAAACUGGUACAAUUGUUACACUCUUUCUCGUGGCAAUACUUUGUAUAGCACAUAGUAUUCUGUUAACACUCGCAAGAUGGAGGAUCGUGCCACAAUCCGUGUUGUAGGGGGCCACUAAAACAAAAGGUGUAAAGCUAAGAUCAACCGCAAUGGGUCGGUGGUUUUAGGAUCUAGUUGCUGUCAAUACAGACAAGAAUCUGUGUGGAUAGAUUAGGGUUAAUUUUGCAAUAAGUAUUCUGACGACUAGGUAUUCAUUUAUAUCUGCUCACUGUUUACAUGUUCAACAGAAUCAUUAAUUCAUUUUUUGUUCUUUUUGCAAAGAUAAGUGCACAUGAUAUAUUCUUGAUGUGAUCUGGAGAUCGUGCAAAUGGCUAAUCAUAUUAGGUUUUAGUAUGCAGAACUAUGACCUCCUGUAGUAUGUGUGGUCCUGUAGUUGCAGUUGCUUUUCCAGAACAUACAUGACAGAGUUCACUGAAUGGUCCUGAACAGCUUAAAUGAAUAAUCGUGACUUCAAAAGCAGCUGUUACUUGGGCUAUCAUUCUGUAAAGCCGCUAUAAGGUUACCUUACAUAUAGAUGUGAGGAUGCAUACAUGUUGCUGGACUGCCUGCUCAUACUCAAAAGCACGCACUGUCUUCUACAUAGCCAGGUAUGCAUAAUGUAAGGACAAUACACUCAUCAUCUAGAAUUCUAGAUACAG